GGAGGGGUCGCCUAGUGGCCUAUGGCGCUCGCUUGGAAAGCGAGUUUGGGAGCAAUCUCAUCGCGGGUUCAAAUCCCGCUCCCUCCGCCA
This 90-nucleotide transfer RNA is filed under the name Candidatus Saccharimonadota bacterium. RNAcentral's name for it is "tRNA-Ser". It matches the Rfam family "tRNA". Rfam says of the family: Transfer RNA (tRNA) molecules are approximately 80 nucleotides in length. Their secondary structure includes four short double-helical elements and three loops (D, anti-codon, and T loops). The record is from RNAcentral. Lineage: Bacteria; Candidatus Saccharimonadota.